Molecule: ribosomal RNA, 495 nt
Filed under: uncultured soil bacterium
Lineage: Bacteria
Description: bacterial SSU rRNA
Rfam family: Bacterial small subunit ribosomal RNA
Source: RNAcentral
AGAACGAACGCUGGCGGCGUGCCUAACACAUGCAAGUCGAACGAGAAAGGGGCUUCGGCUCCGAGUAAAGUGGCGCACGGGUGAGUAACACGUAGGUAACCUGCCUCUAAGAUUGGGAUAACUUGUCGAAAGACGAGCUAAUACCAAAUAAGACCACCGUCUCCUCGGGGACAGGGGUCAAAGGUAGCCUCUAUUAUAAGCUAUCGCUGAGAGAUGGGCCUGCGUACCAUUAGCUAGUUGGUGAGGUAACGGCUCACCAAGGCAAAGAUGGUUAGCUGGUCUGAGAGGAUGAUCAGCCACACUGGAACUGAGACACGGUCCAGACUCCUACGGGAGGCAGCAGUGGGGAAUAUUGCGCAAUGGGCGAAAAGCCUGACGCAGCAACGCCGCGUGAGUGAUGAAGGCCUGGUCGUAAAGACUCUGUCGGAGGAACGGAAUAGCUCCUGAGGUUAACAGCCUCGGAGGUGACGGUACCUCAAAGAAGACACCGCGAAC